This is a non-coding RNA of Zonotrichia albicollis (white-throated sparrow), 18564 nucleotides long. Lineage: Eukaryota; Metazoa; Chordata; Aves; Passeriformes; Passerellidae. The record is from RefSeq and is a predicted model, not a curated record.
ACUAAUCCCAUCCCUGGGCCUGCUCUCUGUUCCCUUCCUGCAUUAGAGAUUGGCUAUAAGGAGAAGGCUGACGGCUGCAGCAUGAAGCGCAUUAUUACCUUGUGAUUCCAUGACCCUCCUCUAUGCAUCCCUAACUCUCGAAAGCUGAUUCAGCUUUCAGCUAGUGCUCUGGUGAGUCCUCUGCUGCAACAGAAGCUCCUAACUGACUUUGUGCUCUCUUCUCCUGAGCUUCAUCACCUCUCUACUCACAGAUUUGGCCCUAAACACUCUGAUGGAUUAAAGAAGAUGAAGGGGCUAUUUUCAAGAGUGGGAAUGGGCACAUCCUCAGGCACGGAGCCUGGGUACAGCCAAAUCUAGACAACUGCUGUGGGUUGGUUAUUUCCAACAUGAACAAUUCUGAUCCUAUGAGUCUGUGGCUCUGGGAUUCUGUGUUAUGGGCUCAACACAGCUUGUCCUGAGCUGGAUUCAAGCCAACACAACCUUGGAGCACAGGCCAAAGGCAGAAGAUGAGGAGGUGAGAGGAAACCUUCAGAUCUCGAGCCACAAGAAAAACUCUACCGAGCCAGCAGUUUGUGCUGGUGACCCUUCUGGAAGGAGGGAACUUGUAGUGGAUGAGCAGGAAGAGGCACCGGGGAGUGUGAAGAAGCAAGAAAAGAAUGUUCCAGCAUCCAUUCCUACCCCUUGCCCAAGUAAGGAAUGAAGCAAUGGAGAAAAGAGCUGAUGAACACACCAUCAGAAGAGAGUAGAAGAACAUUAAUUGGCUGUACAGCAGUCUGAGCAAUAUGAAAAACUGGGAACGACUAAUUUAUGAGUACAGAUUCUUUCUGGAGAGUAUGACUUAAACUUGGGGAGAAAAUCCAUGUGCCUGGAAUAUUAAAAUCAAUAGUUUUAACCUAUUUAGAAAGAAUUCAGUGGGCAAAUGCACAGGAGGGUUAAUCAAUAUCAGAAUUGACAUUGGUGCAUUCCAAGCACCACAAGAAAACUGAAGAGAAAGUGACCUCAAAUACAAAUAAAAACCAAAAUAAGGAGUUUCUCCAGACCACCAACUCUCACUAGAAAACAGAAAUUACUCACUUUUCAGUCACAUAUCUGUAAUAUUUAAGAAAAUUUCCCUGUGCUGUCCUGGGGAACUUCAACUCAAACGAUGUGAGCUGCAGAGGUCAUAGGGCUGGUUUGGGAUUUUCUGAAUGUCCUAGAAGAGAUUUUCCUAACCAAAACCAGGAGGAUCCUCGACAGGAUCAUCCUGAAAGCUGCAGGACUGUUUACAGACCCCAAAAGGGGCUCAGCCAGCACAGAGGUGACCCUGUUUGAUUGUACAUGCUGGGCACAGACAGGACAGCCUGAGCUGACAGUGGGUCCCUCUGCUUUUCAGUGUUGUGAGCCAGGUCACCUGCAGGAUUUUAAACAGAAAAUGUGAGUGAUAUUUGGCAACCCCUUGUUUAAAGAAGAUCUGGCUUCUAGGAAAUCUAGUAAAACCUCACAGUUGGGAAAGAGAAGGUUAUUCUGGCUGAAAAAUGAAGCUCAAAGGACAGUGAAAGUAGGUGAACUCCCAGAAAGAAGGAAGGGAAAGUAAAUAAUAACGAACAUAAAUCAGCCCCAAGCAGAAGGCUGUCAGGUGAAACCUGUGGCUAGCAGAGCUGAGGGCAACAGGGAUGUGCUCUUUAGAUAUAAGAGACUCAAAGUAGUUGUCUAGACAGAAUAGCAGACAUUAAAAAAAGAAUACAUAAAAGGCCGAUGCUAAAUAUUUAAUUUCACUAUUUUUGGGGGAAAAAAAAGCUGAGUGAAAUAGCCAUGUAAUAUGAUGAUGUGAAAUAUCUUCUGCUCCAACUCAGGAUGCUAAACAGCUGUUACUACAGCUAGAGGAUUUUUAUUUUUGAUCAGCAGCUCCCAAUAUUCAGUGCCUGAGAGUUUUAAAAUCUGUCCCAGGAGCGCCCCAGGCUGGCACAGAGUUUUCCAGAAGACUGAAGCAGUGUUGACUUUGAGCCAAGGAAUAAAUGUCGAUGAGGAGGAUGACUUGCGUAAUUAUAAAUCUGAUUGUUUGAUGUUGAUUUUGUGGGGAAAAAAAAAAUAAUGGAAGAGCUGAUAAGGGACUUGAUUAAUAACAAUUUAAGGAGAAUAACUAAUUACAAUCAACAUGAGUUAAUGGAAAAUAGAUCUUAUUAAAUGAAAUUGAUAUAAUUUUUCAAGAAUGUGAUUAUAGAUUUGAUUGAUUUAGUACAUUUCAUCAACACUGUUACGUUUGACUUCAGCGAGGCAUUUAACUUAAUGUUGUCUCAUUUAUUAGGAAGCUAAAACAAUGUAAAAUCAACACAGCCCGUGCUAAACGGAUGAGGACCCUGGUGAUAGGUUUAGACAUAUCUGAGGAGCAUCCCAAGCAGCCUCCUUUCUGUUCAUCACUUUCAGCAAACGGUAGAAAAUCAAAACUCAUUACAGUCAAAGUUUGCUGAUGAGAUUGGGAGUGUGGAUGGGUCUGUGCCUCAGAGCUGCUCCUGAACCAGAGGGAAGUGAGCUCCACCUGGUUUGACACAAAGCCACACUUCCAGGAGCCAGGAUUUCACUGCAGGGAGCACAGAUCCUCCCGCACAGCGCUGGAAACUUGAUAAAACAGCAGAGUGAAAUAUCUCUGGUGCAACAGCUAAUGGGACAGUGCAGCUAUUUGUGGUGCCUGCGACUCCAGAAGGAUGGUGAUGAACGGGAGAGGGCACACGGGAAUGACUGAGGCGUCACAAAACAUGCCUUGCAGUGACAGCCUCAAGGACCCCAAUGUGCUUAGCUUAACAAAGGGAAGGUUAAGAGAUGGCUUAAUGACAAUCCAGAUGUAUUCAGACAGGGUACAGGGAUGCAGGGAGGGAGAGCCCUUCAAUCUAACAGACAGAGUGAUAAAAAGAGCUGGUGACUGAAAGCUGACGCUGUUAAAUUCCAUCUGGGAAGGGUGUGCUUUAUGUUUGGGAGAAAUAACACCAGAACAACUUCCCAACAGAUGGUUUCAUCAUCACUGCCCAUUUCAAACUCAUGCUGAUUUUUUUCCUUUUUUUUUUGUAAGCCAUAUCCUGGAUCCACCAAAAAUCACUGUGAAACAACACACAGGCACUCACACUGCAUGAAUGGGAUGGGCCUUUUUAGGGGGUUUAACCUUCCUAAUAAUGAGUAUUUAAGCCAUCAUCAAGCACUCAAGCACUGAAUGGAACCAUUCCCUUUCCCCACAGUUAUUGGUCUGGCCUUGGUGGGCACUCAUGCAGACACCUCAGGGCUAUUGGUGCUUCAUCUUUGCCAAUGCAGAAGCUGGAAAAGUCCUCUAAAACUCCAUAAAACAAGCCCAGCAAUUCCCCUGCUAUAAAAAUACCCCAAAAUGCAGUGCCAAAUGCAGUGCCAGAGGGAAAAGCUCACAGCUCAAAGCACAUGAAGAACGUGCAUUCCAGUGGUUCAGUAAAAUCCUGCUGAUCCCCAUCUGCUGCCAUAGCUUGAUGGACUUUUAGGAAAAUGGCACAUCUCUGUUCCUUAAGAAUUGCUAAAAUUGUGAGUGGAAAAGGUGCAGUUUCAUAACAGACUCAUCUACACCCAGGACAACAGAGAAUGAGAGAGUGCUGCAAUCUUGGGGACUUUCUGCAGGAGCUCCAUCAGGUCUCUGCUCUCUGGUUUGGAAGCUGCUGAAAUUUCCCCUUCCAUGGAAAUUAUUCAGCAGAAGUCCCAGCUACAGAUCCCUCAAUCAGGAAACUCCAGGAGCCACACAGGGACUUCUCCUGGGACUGGUCUGAAACACCCAGCUGAUGUUUUACUGUGCAUUCAGAUGUACUUGGGGACCAAACAGGUAUAAAUGUAUAUAUAUAUAUAUAAUUUUUUUUUCUUUGGAUACUAGGCCAUUGUAUCUGUGUUUUAAGCUCAGAAAACAGUGUCACAAAAAAAGUUUUCCUUCCAAAGAAAUACUGUGAUUGGUAGGAAUGAUUAGAUAAGAGCUGAUACCAAAAAACUUGACAACUAAAGUUGUUUCAUAAUUGAUUUCUAUAUAUGGGACUUUAUCUUCUGGUGAGGUCUUUACCUUUAAAAGCAGGUCUGUACCUUACAGAAAGGAUAGAAAAGAGAGGUCAUUUGCUAUCUUAUCUUGUAAUGAGAUCAGCAAAGAAAGACUUUUAAGGCCCUCCACAGCUUAUUCAUGAUAUCAGUGUGGUUCUUCAAUUGCAGAAUCAAUCCAGGUGUAAACUGGGAUGCUGGGACCUUGUCUCUUCCCUUCUGCCUACACCAAAGAGCAUCUGGGACCAUAUCUGUGGGUCCUGAGCUGUGCUGGAUUUACCUCUGGCAUGAUCCAAGCCAUUGCUGCUGUCCCCACCAGCUGCCGCCUCUCUGCUGCUGUCACCACAGUUGAUAAUCCAGGUUAUCAGUGAGUGGGGAAGGGGCAGCACUGCAGGACAUGGUCCACCACAGUCACUAACCCCUCUCCCCACCCCUCUGUGCCUCCUGCUCCGGGCAGAGACCAUCACCCAGAAACUUCUUCAGUAGUUUCAAUUCAGUCUGCCAGAGCCCUUUGCUCCUAAUGCCAUUUAAUCCAGUUCCUUGUUAGCCAGCCAAUAAGACUUUCACUGAUAUCAGGUUUUGGCCCAAGAACAGUGCAGAUCCUUUUGAACUGAACAUCUUAAGCACAACACAUUUUGUCAGGAAAAAAAGCCUGAACCAGCAGAAACUCUUUUAAAGCCAGGGCAGCAUCAUUACCAUAGAGGCAAACACUAAUUUAAUGUGUUCACAGUAACAACACACCAUUUAUUUAAAUACUUCACCCUUUAAUUUAUUCAGCAUUUUAUAUUGAAGAGUAUUUUCAUUAGGAUUCCUCUGCAAAACCGAAGAAGGCAUUAAAUCAUUUAAUAUACUGACAACUUGCUUAAUUUAUUUAAGCACAGGAGUCUAAUUCAAAAAAGCCAGACCUUAUACAGAGGCCUGUCUUUGCAGCCCUGGCAUACAACAGCCUAUUAAUUUCAGGGUAGUGCAUUACAUGAAUUUAUUUUGAGAUCCCAGGACGUGUUCUCCUCUGGUCAGCAGCCUGCUGUGGGGCUGCACCUGCCAGAGCUGCCUUUAGGAAUUCCUCCCAGCGCACACCAGUCCUGCCCCGUGCCUUUUGCUUCUGGUGAGCACCCAGCCCUUUGCAUUUGUCACCUGGCUGGGUUUGGUCCUUGGUGUGACACAGAGCGACCAGCACGGCUGGAGCAGCAGGGAAACAGAGGAAAUCAGCAACACUGGGGGCAUCAGUGAUAUCUUCAGUUUAACUCUCAUUAAAUGGCACUCAGAGCACUUGGUAAAGUCUGGGGGAUCCACUGCAGUGCACCCCUGACUUGGCUGAUAUUGAAUUAAGCAGGGACACUCAUUUCUGUGGUGAGAUCCCAGCAGCCCUGCCCUGAAGGUGCUGAGCAGCCUCAGGACUGUCCCCAGUUGUCACAUCAGAGCUCUCACACCCUGCCUGCAGCAAAUACUCCACUUGAUAUUCUGGGGGCUCAUCUCCUUGGGCAAUCCAGCCCUUGUGGCUUAUUACUGAUGUCCCCAGAUGUGCCAUAACGAAUGGCAGAGAAGAAAAUUGUCACCUGUGACAAAGCUCUGGGUGAUAUUGGGGUCCCCAGUGGCUCCUGGCUUGGCUGCUUUCUGAGAUUGGUGCUGAAGCAGAACCUGGGAAACAAUAGCACAUUCUCAAUAGGAUGCAGAGGGUGACAUUAAUAAACAUUAGGGGGUUUGAUAUGAUCAGGCAAAAGCAGCACAACGAAAUGAGGUACCAAAAGCAGGCUGGAGAGGAGGGGAAGGCACCUGAACAGGGUGUUUAAUGACUCACCCAGCUGAGAAAUGCAGCGCAGGGCAAGGCUGGGAGAGAAAACCUUUUAAUGAAUUCAACAUGUGUGCACCCUUUGAAGGCUCAGCUCCCCAUUCCCCACUGGUGUUUGACCCACCUGAAGAUAUGGAUCACACAGAAAAUAAUAACCAGUAAGUAAUAAUAAUAAUAGUAAUAAUAGGAAGAGCAGGACCUUCAUCUCCAAUUCAUAUUUAUAAUCCAGCAAAUAUCUCACCUAAAGCCACAAGAUUUAUGGGUUUGCAUCUAUAACUAAUAUCCUUCCUUAAGCAGGAAAGGGUAUGUGUUCCUACAAAUAAAUCUGGUGCUCUAGACCUGGAUUUUGAAGACUAAUAUUUAAAUCCCCAGCAAGACACAGUUAUUGAUUGCAUAGAUGUAUACAACAAAGACACACCGUGCACAUUUAGAGAGAUAGCAUUGUACAGCUAUUUUAAAAAGAAAUAAAGUUUCUCUUUUAAAUGCAAUAGAUUAAGCUUAAUCAGGUAAAAAAAGGAGGAAGGUUGGCUUGGUGUCUGCUCCAAGCUGUCCCAAUUUCCCAGAGAUUUCAUUUGCAUCAGGCCCUAGCUAAAAGCAGGGCUGGUCCUGGGCGCCAAUACACAUAAAGGGCUUUGAGACAAAGGUAAUCGAUUUGGUUUUACUGUUAUGAGGAAAAUAAACAGUCAGGCUGAUAUAACAGUAAAAGGGUCAAACAGGGUCAGGGCUAAUGAAGUGACUUACAGCAGGUUGGAAUUAAAACACCCUCCCUUUUCUCCAUCCUCCCCUCCAGGAGUGAUCCCUGUGAAUGCCCAAAAUCACACCUGUGGGUGACAGCAAAGCACCAGCUAAGGGUCAUUCGGGGCUGGGCAGUGGACUUGCUUUAGCUGAGGGUUUUAAUGGCCAGCAGCACCCUCUGAGCUAUGGAAAACUCCAACCAAGGCAAGCCCUGCCCUUCAGCUCCACAUCAUGGACCACAGCCACUGCACAUAGUCAGGGAGGCUCAAAGGUGCCCAGAAUCAUCACUCCAGAGCUGAACUGGCACUUUCACUGGUGGUUGGAGGGUCCCUUUUUCCUCAGGGGUUUCUUUUCACUUUUGGAGUUGUAAUGAGCAAAGUGGGAAUGUGCUGGGUAAGGAGCCAAACCUAGGAAAAUACAGCUUCUCUGGAGCAAGCAUGGAUGGAUAUAGCUGAAAAAAUACUGAGAAUUACUGGAAAUUUAAAUGUAGGCACUCAACCAAGGUCAAGGGUGGAAGCAUCACCUCACUUAGAGGUGAACUUACCAAUAGAGGUAAAACAUUUCUGCUCUGUAUCUAAAGAGUAAAGACAGGAACAGAGCCCAGACACUUGUAUUUAUACUGUCCUAAGGCAUAUAACACCCCCAUUUAAUGGAGAUUUUAGUUAGUCAUGUUUAAAUACUAUUAAUAAAAAAAAUUAAAAAAGCUUUUAUGCACUCAGUCAUUUAAGGAACUCAUCAGUGACUGCAUGUGAAAGACUCAUUCAAACCUCAUGAGAAAAGAGUUUCUUGUCUCCACAUUAUGGGCUCCCAGAAGGGAGAUUAUACCCAGGGGAAGGAAGGAAUUGGCAAUAACAGUUGGGUGGUGCCACAAAGGGGUGGUGAGCCCCCAGGCUGGCUGGCUUUGGGGAGUCAGCUCCAUCACCCAUAGACUGGAGAUGGUCCUUCCCCCAAAUGUUACUUUCAAGUGUCACAAAUCCUCUGUGGGAGGAGGGAAAAGAAAAAGCAAAAGAAGCCUUCUGGUGAGCACUGUGCUGCUCCAAAACCUGGUGACCAUAGAGAAGCUUUCCCUACAGACAUGCUGUCCAAUGCACACCCUCAUGGUUUUUAUGUCCAUGCAGAACAUGGGCUGUGGGUGCCCAGACACUGCUCUUCUCUGCAGCUCUGAAAAGGAAAGAAAUUCAUGAAUGUUGCUCUGCAAGGCCAAGUACCAGCAGCACAAGGGCUUGGGAAGCUGCAACCAGUGUGGGGUACUCAGCCAAGGCAGAGCUUUUUUGCAACUUGGUUUUCAUGAUUUAGCAUUCCUGCUGUAAAUAAUUGAUACUAAUGUAAGUGAGAUAAGAGACAGACUGUCUGUGGGCUGGGAGGAAGUGGAUCCUGGUGACAUCCACCUGGAAAUGUGCUUGCGGAUUUGUCUGAAAUUAAAACGUUGAAAAGCCAAACACAAUGUCCGAGAGGUGGGGAGGGAGCAGGGGUGGGAAAGGUAAUCAGUGCUCAGCCCCAGCACUCUCAUCUCUCUAAAGAAAAGCUACCACUAAUAAUUUCCCUAAUAAGAGAAUUCCUGCACUAACUAGCACUUCCUCUCUCCCUGAACAUGGUUCUCACACUAGUCUAUAAGCUGUGUUCCUGCAUUGCCAGGGAGCUGGGUGGGUGUUAGCACAAUUUAAGGAAUUAAAAUGUCAUUAAGGGGGUGCAUGGAGCACAGCCUUCCUCGUCGGACACCAUGCCAGCAGGAAAAUGCCAGUGAGCUCAGCGUAUCUGAUGCCUUUGGCUUAGGUUAUCUACAACCAGCUGAGUACCAGGAAGGAGCUCUCCUGAAUCUCAGGCUUUGAAACUGGAGAAGGCAGAAUUAUAUCUCUGGUCCUGCGAGGGCGGCUGUGAGACGGGCGAUGGAGACAAUCCUGCUGGGUGGGGAAGGGGAGAUUUCCCUGCUGGGAACCUUGGAACCCAGCAUGGCCCCAGGACCAUUACACCAUAUCCAUUUCUAAAUCCUGAUGUGGAGGCUGCUAUUGGCAUUUCACAUCCUCUGAGGAGUCUGUGCCCGGCGGCAAACCGACAUUCACUUCCCCCCGCAUGACAUAAUGCCUGUUUUCAUCCUGUCUAGUGGAUAUUAAAAAAGAUAAUGUCUGCUGAAAAAAAAAUUAAAAUGACAUCACUAUUGAGCCACUUUACAGCUCUCUGUUUCUGUCUCUCGUGUGUCUCCAUCUUCACAUCCCACCUGUGCUGCCUGUUGCUCAUCAGCCCAAGGACCAUCCUGUGGCCACUGCACAAGGUAUGUGUGCCUGAUGGUUUUAAUUUGCUGGAGGAUUCAAGUGCCAAAGUGAAAGGAAUUUCCCAAGGCAAUUCCUUCAUUUUAAACCCCUGUAAACAUAGGGAAGGUCCCUCAUGUCCUCUGUCUCCCAUGCCUACAGCAGGCAGCUUGUUGUACUCCUCUCCUGAAGGCCAUACCUUUACACAUUACUCUGGUGAGCACAUAUUCAGGGCUCUAAAUUUGUUUUAAAAUACACUUCUUAAUCUAGAGAUUUCAUGCAGAAAGGAAAAAAAAAGAGGAGAAAAAAGCUGCUUUGGAAAUGUUAGGAAGGAGCAGCACUGACUCAUCAGUGAUAUGAAUGGGGAAAGCCAGAGGGACCUUCUCAUCUCUAAUGUGAUUUUAUGAUUCAGUGAAUAAUGCAUAUUAGCAUAAUACUAACUAAAAAAAUCCAUACUCAUCAUAGAAUCACAGCUAUCAACAUUAUCCUAUUAUUAAUUAUUAACAUUUACACUAUCAAUCAGCCCCUGGCUGACUGAUAGCUUAAAAUCUUGCAUAAAGAUUGUUACAACAAUAGCCACAGUACAUCACGUAAUGUGCUUCACAGUCGGGUUGUCAUAUCCUCAUCUAUAAAGCUUUUUACUAAUGCACUUUACAACAUAUCUUACAGUACAUGGAUGAAGAAUGUGGCUGCACCCAGUAAUAAUUCCAUUAAUUAUGAAUAAAGCAUUUACAAAUGACAUCCUUAUUUAAAAUUAGUGAUGAACACAUUUGGGUUUAAUGCAGAUGCACUGUGUAAUUUGUAAUUGGAUAAAAAGCAAUGCUGGCAACAUGGGGUAGGGAAAAAGGGCCAAGAUCUUAUGGUCUUUGCAUCAGCAAGGAAAGAGGAGAAAAAACAGUGGAGGAAAUGAUUGACAAACAACAAAACAUUGGCAUAAAGCUCACCAAACUCCAAGGUGAUGCUUGAAAGCAAUGAUUAAAGGUGCCCUGCAGAGCAGAAAGGGAAAAAUCCUUACCCACUGACCUUGCAUUGCAGUUGUGUUAAUAAAACUCACUCCUGUAUUAAUAAAGUCUAUAUUUUCAUUGCUUUCUCUCAUUUCAGUGUUUUCAGCUGGCUGGCAGCUCACCAAGACUCGUUAGCCACAUCCAGUUUGCCUUUGCAGUACCUUGGUACCGCUUUGUCCUGUAGGCUCUCGGGGAUGGCAGAAUAUUUAUUACAUACAAUAUUUCACUGAGGCUACUUACGUCAAGAGGCUAUAAAUACAUUACUCUUCCUGGUUUACUUAAGGGAUAAAAAGUGAGUAGCUAAGUUUACAGAGCAGGCUCAGGCUCUAUUAAUGUGUGGUCUGUUCAUUUUCAUAUAGAUCUCAAUUGUUUGAAAUUGUUUUCCAGAUUAAUCCAGUGAGUGAUUCUUGCCUUGCUGAUCAUCUCCAAGCAUUGCUGGUCUAUUUGUGCGGUGGUCAUAUCGGGUUAUUCCAUGUAUUGUGGAAGAAAGGUUAAUUUAAACUCAUCAAGCUUUUUGGUAAUAAAGUAGUGAAUAUUUAUGUGUUCAUAGUUUUCUGCUGAGAGCCUUGUGCCAAGAACUUCUUACACUGAGGUUCAACUAUUUCAAUACGUCCCAACUGGGGAGGCAAAAAUCCCAUCAGCCCACUUCUGGCCACAGAGGUGGGGGGACAGGAACUUUGGUAGCCAGGAGAAAGUCAGCAAACUCCUUUUAAUUACUUUUCUCCUGAAUUUUCCCAGUGUUUACAGCAAAGUGCCUGGAUAAUGCACAGGCCGUGGUGUUGUGUGUCUGUCUGUUAGCACAGAGCCAGAGCUUGCAUGGUGCUCGGUGCUGAGGGUGGUGCAAGGUUCUGCAGACUCAGAGAAAACAGACCUGGAUCCAUCACAUAAAGUUAAGGGGGAAAAUUGCCUGGGGAGGGACCUGGUUUUGGUUCAGGCAGAAUCUUUCUGCAGGUUUUCCAAGGAGAUGAGAUUUCAAGCCAGAGCCAAGCCGGGCAGGAAUUCUGUCUGAAUUAUUUUCACAUUCCCUUUUAAUGUCCCAUCCAUGGGUGAUACCUAGUGCAGAGCAUGACACCUGACAUGGCCCUUUCCCCAUAUUUUCAAGUUAAUAAACAUGGUGGAAAAUAAUAUACAGUGUUUAUUGCCAGCACUGUCAAGGAGGACACUGUGCAUUCCCCCUCUCCUCCCAAACCCAGGCAGUGUAGGAGAGGCUGCUGUAAUUACAGGUCUCCUUGUGCAAGACUGCUUUGAAAUUCCCAAUAUUUCUCCAAACCACCAGCAAGUUGGUUUUCAGAGCUGCCUGACAGAGAAUUUAUUUAUUAAGGUCUUGGCUGUUUGCAGCAGUGGCUGGGCAGCAGCAGUUCCACAGAGUUAUCAAAAAUCUAUUUCCUUGCAGAGUCACAAGUAAAAUAUCAAACCCCCUUUGAAAAGCCAAGUGCAACAUUUACAUUUUAAUCUCCCCAAACACUUUCCUUUCUGACAAACUGGGUUUUUUGGUCUGUGUGUUAUGGAGAGGAAAGGCAGCAGGGAUAGAGGAGAAAGGUUUAUAGCCCUGGGAGGAAGCGUGGGCUGCUCUGAGUGGCACAGUGACUGCAAGGACCGUCACCCUUCAGCACUGCUGGGGCCGGAUGAAAAACAAAAAACCGCCUGGCCCCAAAAUCUAGCAAUGCAGGGGCAUCAAACACCAAGCUGGGUUAGCAAUCACAUGUACAGGUGUAAAAAAGGGGCAGCACCAGCCCUGUGCUGUGCUGGGCACAGCUUCUGCUGGCUACAAACAGCCCAUUGAGGGAUCAGCGUGGGACUGGCAGUGCUACUAGCAGCCACUUAUCUAUAGGGGUAAAUAGCUUUUAUUCCACUGUUUCUUCACACUUCUGCCUAUAGGUUAAUUGGGAUGAAGUGGAGGGGCCCAGCUCCACAGUCUGCAGUCUGGCAACAAAAGCAGCUCAGCCUUUCCCUUGUUAUCAGCGGGGCUGAGGUCCUGCGCUGCUCUGUGGAGCCUCUGCAGCAAACCAUGAAUUAUGGAUGGAAUGAAAAAUCCCAGCCCGGUGCACUGAGGGAAUAUGCAGAGUGCAGAGUGAUCACCUUUGUGUGUGAGCCUUGCUUUGUGCCACCCUCACGUGCAUGAGGCCCAAAACACUGGGUUUUGCUUUGGCCUGCCACUCCCUCAGCCCACAGGGUCAGGAUUCCCUCCUCCUGAAGGAUGCGGGCUCUGAAAUGACAUUCCUUAAUUUGAAAAGCAUGUCCUUGUGCUUUGUGGGAUCUUCCUGGGAGCUCCUGAGGGUGCUGUGUGGAUGAGCUGUGUGGAAUUCCCAUGCAGAGGUGCAGGCAGCAGGCAGGAUGGGUGUCUGGAUCCCUGCUCCAGGCAUGUUCCUGAGCACAUGGACACACACUGCAGGUGGAGUUCCCACCCAGGCUGGCUCUGAGGGCUGAGCCAGGCACAGAGGAGCCCCCAGGGGAUCUGCAGUUCCCACCAGAGCUCCCCUUUCUUGAAGCAAAGUGUUGGAAAAGUGCUCAGCAGGCUCUGGCUUCAAGACUCUGUGAUUUGGGGAAGCUCAGUCUCUCUACUCAUAACUUCUCCUUCAGAGAGAAGCUGCCUUUCAGGAGGCAUUUUAAAAUGUCUUUUAAUUUUUAAAUGCUUUAGUUCCUCCCUUGCAAAUCCAGCUCUCUGGUUUUGUGCACCAUCUAAUCAUGUGCUUCCACACAGCCAUUUCUGAGUGUGCAAUAUCAACAUCUGUGCUAAAACCAAGGAGAAAUUUUUCCCUGAAGCAAAAUUUUGCUCUGUAUUAUUGUUACUUUUUUCCCCUAUUUAAUGAUUUGCUUGUCAUGGGGCCUCUUCAGCCUCUUAUUUCCAGGAAAUGAAGGUUCUCUGCCUCUCACUCCUUGUCAAAGACACCCUGGCAGGACAGAGCAUCGUCACCCUUCUCCCAUCUCCUAAAGCAUUUUACUUAGUGCUCACAAAACUGUGCUGCACUCAAGCACCUCACUGAGCUGGGUGCUUGAUAUGCAGCAGGUUGGCAGAAUUAAUUUAUUGGUGUUUGUACAGCCUUUUGAACUUCUCCUGUUACAUAGGUGUCAAUAAUGAUGGUAAAAACAAAAACAUUAUUUUAUUAUUAUUUUAUUGUUAUUCUGACUUUCCAUCACAGCCAAUGAUGAACAUUCCCCUGUGCAGGUAUUAAAGGUAUCCAGUGGGAGAUGCUUUGUUCUUAAUUUUGAUUAUUUUAAGAAGUCCUUCAACACAUCAAAUAAUCUCCCUAGGCAAGGAUUUAUAGGAAGGUCUUGAGAGCUGUCAGAGUAAUGUUUUUCCAGCAGUGAAAACUCGACCUCCUCUUUGAUUUUCAUUUCUGUUUUGUCCUGGAUGUAGCUGUAGCGAGUGCUCGGUCACAGCCAUCAGGACGGAGGAGAUGUGUUGUCAGUUGUUUUAUUUUUGAUCCCAUUUGAAUGUGUCAGUCAACUGCCUCGAAUCAAAGAAAGUGAGAAGGAGCCUUUAACAGUUGUGAUUGAAAACUUCAGACUUACCUUUUCUUUUUUAUUUUUAUAGUCACUAAGUAAAUGGUUGGGUCUUGUGAAUCAUAACAUUUCUAAAUAUAUCAAGGAGGCUCUUUGCCAAGCUGCUGGGGAAGGUGGUGUCUAUUCCUAUUGACUCCUUUCUCCCCUUCAGAUUACUUUUGCAUUUAAUAGUUUCAAAUCAUAAUGCAAGAAAUCAGGGACUCUUAACUAGGCUGGCUAAGGCUGUGAUUAAUGAAAGUGUAAUGCAAGCUACUGUACAGCCAUUAGAAACCAGUUAGCUAAUUAGUGUAAUCACAGAGGUGGAAAUAAUUAAGAGACCAUAAAAUAGAGGUAACCUAAUAAAAACAUUUUCCUCUGACCCAGAACUGGUGAGAAAAGGAUGGUUUGUUAGGUUAGGAACAGAGAGGAGUGAAGAUGGAAUGUUCUGUGCGUAAUCACUGUCAGAGAGGUCUCAGACAAGUAGAACAGAGCAGAUUUUACACCAACAUAACCCAGACUGCAGCAGAAUCCUCUGGCAAUGGUGCUUCACACCUCUGCAUCCCUCUCCCAUCUCAUGCACUGCCACAAUUCAGUGACAGACAAUCAAGACAGCAUGAGGCGGGAGCUGGCUGCCUUGCUCUUUCUUACUUUGUUCCUUUUCUUCUUUCCCAGGUUAUUAGUAAAUAUAAUAUUAAAACUAACUUCACUUUGCAGUGCCCGAGUGACUGACCAGGUUUGGUUUCAGGAAAAGGAGAAAUCAGUGUCCUAAGGUGUUUAAUAUGAAAAUCUUGUUAGAGGAUUUAUAGAACUCCUAAUGUAUUCAUGUAUGUUAUUCACUGUAGUUUCACAGGACUCUACAGAGUCUUUCUGGGCACAGAAUGGUGCAGUGAUCAGUGAGGGUGCCAGUCACUUCCAGAGCUGCUCCCAGGAGCUGGGUGCCAAGCAGAUGUGUCUCCCCUUCAACCCUCACCUGCUGUCUUUGCACCCAGCACCCUGGAUCCUGAACAACCCCAAAAUAUGCUCCCCAUGCAGGACUGUCCAGGUCAGAGAGAGAUGUGGGACAGUGAUGGGCUGGAUCUCACCCUUGGGGAUUAGGAGUGACCUGCCUCUGGCUGCUGGAUGAAACAGCUCCAUGUACCAGGCAAUAAAAAUUCCUAACCUGUAAUUUUCCAGCUUGAAUGGGUCACCACUAUGCCCAUCUCCAUUGGUUCUUAGCAUUUCUGCCACGGUUUGUGUGUGUUUCGUUUGACCUGGCUCUAAUGAGCAGAGAAGAGGAACAGGAGCUGCAGACACAAUCAAGGCUCAGCCGCCAGGGCUGAUGAGUCUGCCGAGACUGCUAAGUGGGUCUUCAUUAGCUAUUCACAUUCGAGGAGCAACCCUUGUUUAUUCUUCUUUCCUAGGUGAAUCUAUUUUUGAAUAUCUUUUGUAGUGAUCUUGUCUGGGGAGAUUGGAUGGAGGGCACCACUACUGCCGGUUAACUGGAUUAUUGUCCUGGAAAAACAGGCUGUGACACCAAGCUGGCAGCAAACUGCAAAGAAGAAACAAUGUGAUGCCAUUUAGAGAAGGAAGGAAUCAUUUUCCCCUGUGACAUCUCUGGUGGGAGGCAGAACUUUAUCUUCUCUUUGCAGCUCAAAUGAAGCAUCACAGCAGUAGCAUUAACUGUGCUUCCACUUUUCCAGCUUGGCUUUCCAUUAACUUUUUUCUUCUUUAUUUUGUGCUGCAGCAGGGAACACGCUUUCCAGGGAGGGUUUGAGGGUGAGUCCCUGGAGCUGCAAGCCCAGGAUGUCCCAGGUGGGUCCCCAGGCUGUGGCACAUGUGGUGUUGUUGCAGCCAAAUGGAUGAGCCUGGUGGUCUGCAGUGAAGAAGGGAAGCCUGAUUGAUGUCUACCAGCCUGGUGGAGAGGGGAUUUUGGAGCAGCAGCUCACGGUGAGCCUUGCUCCAGGCGUGCUUCCAUCCCCCAGCUCGGACAUGUGGAUCCUGGGACAUCCUCGCAGAAGGGACAGCGCUUGACCUCCGGCAGCACCCGUGGCUUCAUGUCUCAUAUGAACAUGAAGUCUCUUUUCCACACGGGGUGCUCAAACGCUCUCCUUUAAGCUUUCCCUCGGGCUGGGCCGGGCCGGUGGGGUGCGGAUCUCACCUGCCUGUGGCCAAGGCUGCCCUCUCCCGACGCGCCGGCAUCCGAGGGAUGCGCUGGCUGAGCCGGGCCAGCAUCCCCGGGCAGCGCACCCUGCUCCCUGCACCGAAGUUAAAAAAAAGUUAAUUUACUUUAACUGCAGCACUUCCCAGCUCCUGAGACUUCCCAAGGUUUUGCUGAGCCUGGGUUUAUUUAGGAAUUAUAUAGCUGCAGAAGCAGUUUCUCUCAGCCCAGCGCUGUCCUGCCCCAUCAGCACAGCCCAGCACAGCCUCGGGCAUCCCCCGAGGUGCCCAACCCCAUCACCGCCUGCCUCUGAUGCUGGAUCCAACCUGCAUCCCCCUCUGGCAUCACGGGGAUGCUGCAUAAGGAUCCUCCUGCUGAUUUCCCUUUUACCUGAUCGAUCCCAGCCCUUCCAAACCUGCCCUGUACCUUCUUCCUUUUCGUUUCGUUUUUCUAAUCUGGCAGUGUAGGUGUGAAACCCAUACUCCUCUGAGUUAUCUUUUCCCAGCUGAGUCAGUUUGUGCUGCAGACUGUGUGGGUGACACCCUCUGCAAAGCCACGUUUAGCAGCACGUUGCUCCAGGAAAGUGUUUUUAUAUGAACAGAGAUGUGAGACAAACUCUUGCACCUCUGGGGCUGGCAAACAACUGAUCCAUGAGAGAUGACUCUUUUUUUUCCCUUUGUGAUUUUGACCUUAUUUGCUGAAAGUGAAACAUCAUCCAGCCCUCCAGGAAAUACCACAAAUCUUCUAUCUGACAUGAGAACAUAAAUCUUCUGUAAGGGUUCAUCCAUUCUGCAUCUCAGGUCUCUGGAACCGAGUUGUGGACACUGGAGUGGGAAUCUCAGCCUCCUGAAUCCAGGGCUGCUGAACCUGAGCCCCUGCACCUCCCCAACCUGGGGAAAAACAUCUCCAUGGGGUUGUUGUUUACUGAGCACCAGUUCCUCCUGGAAAAAAAAGGAGGGGGGAAUUUGCCUGAAUCACCUUGAGCCUCUUAAAUUUUUGUGGGAGACAUGAAACCCUUCCCCUCCAGCUGGGUGUAUGUGUCUGAAAUGAAGCACAGCUUUACAGCCCAGAGUAACCCACUUCCCAUGGUUCAGCCUCCCCCAGUCACUCCUAGGAGAGGUUUGCAGUGCAGAGGUUUUGGGCUCUGCACCCCAUGCUCAGCAGGGCAGCCCCAGCCCACACCUCUGAGAGCACAUUUCCUGAGAGGAUGCCUGUGGCUCCCUGACCCUGCCUGUGCACCAGCCUUUGUGGGCUGUGUCCCCACCCUGCUUUCUGGGGGACCACAGAGGCCUUUCUGAGAAAGCAGUGCAGCAGCCCUGGGGCUCGCAUGUGGUUAUUUGACUACAACCGGUUAUUCGCGGUUGCAAAAUUUUCCACCUCUCGUUCACCAUGAAUGGUUCAGGAGGUUCUUUUGCUCAAUAAGUUCAUGUUUUUACUUUUGCUCCCCCUGGGCUGUAUCCCUCAGUGUGCAAACUUCUUUGCUUCAUGGUUUUUUCCCAGAGUAGGAGCACCCCAAACCCAACUGGACCCGGGGAAGGACUCAGAGCCAUCUCUGCACUUUGCUGUGUGUCCCUCUGGAUCAGCUCAGUGACAUUCCCAGCCCUCAGCCUGCUGGGGAUUAUGGCUUUAGCUGAGCCUGCAAUGACACCCUUCCAAAGGCUCCAAACAGCAAAAGUUUAUUUUUUUCUGCCUGGACCACUUUUCCUUGUUUUACCACUAGAUGGGAGAGUGAGACUGGGCUAACAGCUGCUCCCCUCCUUAUCCCGGCAGGAAUUCCGAGGGGAGAACCGAGAGAUGCCUGAAGGUCAUCCAGCAAAUCCUCCCACCUCAGCCUCGGGUAACGCCCAAAAUGGGCAGCUGUUGCUUAACCCCAAAAGUGCACUGUUAGAGGGCACUAAGGCUUGCCUGGUGCUUUCCAAAAUACCAGGAACCCCGUGGUUGCCUUCAUGGAAGGGGAAUUCACUUACACAAAGUCUGGAUAUAAUUCUUGAAGUGAAACACUUCAUAUUUUUCCUAAAAUCCACCUGUCCUAGAGCAAAGGGAGAUAAGGGAAGCACUUGCAAUUCGUCCCUCUCAUCUGUACCCCAAAUCCUACUUCCCAGGAAUCCAGGUGACCCCAAAAUUGUUUGGAGAGGUUAAAAAGUCAAACAACCACAGAAUGGUUGGGGCUGGAAUUGUCCUUUGGAGUUCAUCUGUCCAACACCCAACAGGUAAAUAUAAAUAAAGCAGCAUUUUCUCCUCUUUUACUUCUACAGGAUUUUCUUUCUCCUAUAGGAUUCUUGAGUAAGGAUCUUCCCAGUGAUACCAUUUUCCUGCAGAAAAUAAAACUGAGCUGUUGCAAUGAUUGCAUGUGCAGGAGGAGAAUUCAUGCCUUGGUCUGACACCACUCACCUCGGGAGCUGCUGUGGGCGAGGGAGGGGCAGCCCCUGGUUCAUUAAUGUCUUGGUAAAUUUACUUUAACUGCAGCACUUCCCAGCUCCUGAGACUUCCCAAGGUUCUGCUGAGACUGGGCUUAUUUAGGAAUUACAUAGCUGCAAAAGCAGUUUCUCAACCCAAUCAGAUUGUCCAGUUGGGCUAUUUUUAUUAUUGUUAGGUUUGGGGCUUUAAAAAGGAACAUCUUGCUUCCUGGGAUUUUCACAGAUUUUGCAAGAAACCUCACAGUAGACAAUUUUUCCAACUGCUUGUGUGACUACAUCAGAAGAUGCAAUUCCUGUAGAGGGGAAAUAUUCUUUUUGGAGGGUUUUGCCCUCCACCCAACCUUCUUAAUUUGCAAGUUCUCUAAAGAAGUGACUCAUCUUUAUUUGUUUAAUGCCUGGCAUAGUUGGGCAAUUGGAUGAAAUAAUUCUAAUUACUUCCCUAACUGCAGUACCCUUGUUGCCUCCGUUGGGGUCUCCUGACUUUGCCAGCACAGGAAAUAUCUGACAUUAUCCUGCCAGACAGAAAUAACAGCUUCUGUAGAAGACAAACUCUGGGUUUUUACUGGAUCGAUCUACUCUUAUUUUCCAUAAGCUACAGCCACCCCACCCUGGAUGUGCAACGAGGCCACUGAGUCACCAUGAAGGAGUGACCAGCUCAUUCACCUCCCAAGGGAAAACCAAAAAAUCCCCUCCAGAGAAAAGAGGAGACAUCUUCCUUCAGUUGAUAAUUAGAGGUGAAAAAAAA